UUUUUUACGUUUGUAAGUUGCGGUAUGCCGUGUGUGCGUAUUAUAGGGUGCUGCACUUCGAACAUCAGCGCAGCUUCACCUGUCACAGUGUUGACGCUCAAGUGAGAACCAAGUUGUGGUCUUAUUUUUUUGUUACUUUCAAUAUUUGACUUGAUUGCUGCAUUUGAAACAUCCUGCGAGGUGUCACCAAAAUCAGAGGCCAGGAGCAUUUACUCCUCAAGGCAUUUAAGUGAACAAAGCAUCUUCAGCUUAGUAAUCCAGCAAUUAGGCAUGCGCGCGAGGUCUGCAGAAGAUGCCUGUAGCCACUAUGCGCUCGGAGUUUUAAUUUCAGCCCAGUCUUACAUUUCGUGCACGUCUACAUUUAUUGUUUUCCUUUUUUUUAACGGUCCCUCUUCCACAGUGUUGGUAACAUUCAUUUGGACAAAAUCGCGACUUCACAUCCCAAAACGCUCAAUCUUCAGUAAAAAUAAGUUGCUAAGUGAUGAUGGUGACUUGUUCAUUUCCUAAAUGUCGUCCCUAUUAUUUUUAAACUGCAGCUUUGAAUUACUUCUAGCUGUUACAGGCUAAUGGUUGGAAUGCGAGAAAGGACGAAAAAAAACUGUUUUCCUAAAAACACUUUUAAAUCUUAAGAUUCUGCUUUGCCAAGAUCAAACAGCUUUGAUAUGCCCCACUAGUGAGCUCUUCAGCAUGUCCUUAAAAGUAGCGACCAAAUAACCGCGCAUACCAUGUCCCCUUUAGUAAGCGUCCCUCGAGGAAUUUUGCCGGGGCAAUUCGCUGGCUAUUUUUGUCGCUAGCAUAAUCUCUAAGACUCCACAAAUGCGAAACCGUCGUUAACAUUGCCAAAAACUCAUUUAGCUUGGCAACUUUCUAGCUAAAUUACCAACACUGCUCUCGCAGCAUUUGACGAAACACUGCAGUGGUUCUGGUGCUCUGCCUCCAAGCACCAGGUUGCGGGCUGUAGUCUCCUGGCUGCAAUCUAAAUGAAGGGAGAAUGCAGGGAGAGAGGAUUCUUUAAGAAAUGGCUACGAAGUUUGCCUGACUUCGACUCCUCUAGCCCGCUGCUCUGAAUAAAAAUGGACUGCAGGGCAAGUUGGGACAGAUUCAUGAUUUACAACACAAAACGGAGAUGGGGGGGAAAAAUAGGGUGGGCACGAGCAUCGUCUUCCAAUUGAAGUUUUAUUGAAAACAUGAGUCGAUUAUAUAUACAAGGUCACAAAAAAAACAUUAGCGUCAAAACUGGGAUAGCAAAACAGUCACAUGGGCGAAGUGCAGUUAUGUAUUAUCUAAAAAGGCAAACUGCAUCUUAGAGGAAUGGAUGGCUGGCUCACUCAAGACUGCACGUGGUUUUCAUUCCAUAAAGAUUCAGCAAUUUUA
This 1374-nucleotide long non-coding RNA is filed under the name Dermacentor andersoni. Its description in RNAcentral is "uncharacterized LOC126529079". Lineage: Eukaryota; Metazoa; Arthropoda; Arachnida; Ixodida; Ixodidae. The record is from RNAcentral.